GCGAACGUAGCUCAGUUGGGAGAGCGCACCCUUGCCACGGUUGUGGUCGCGAGUUCGACCCUAGUCGUUCGAUCCA
Molecule: transfer RNA, 76 nt
Filed under: Streptomyces viridochromogenes
Lineage: Bacteria; Bacillati; Actinomycetota; Actinomycetes; Kitasatosporales; Streptomycetaceae
Description: tRNA-Gly
Source: RNAcentral